Molecule: long non-coding RNA, 5150 nt
Filed under: Sus scrofa (pig)
Lineage: Eukaryota; Metazoa; Chordata; Mammalia; Artiodactyla; Suidae
Description: lncRNA (ENSSSCG00065067773.1)
Source: RNAcentral
AUCCUUAACCUACUGAGCAAGGCCAGGGAUUGAACUUGCAUCCUCAUGGAUACUAGCUGGAUUUGUUUCCACAACACCACAACAGGAACUCACCCCAAAUCCCCUCUCUAUUAACUAUUAUGGAGGUUUCACAUGGUACCAUAAUCAACAAUUAACCAACCCUCCAUCUCAUAGACUCUUACAAUUAUGCAACAUAUGCUGUUCAAACUUGACUUAGCACACAGUAAUACUUAAUGAAAUUUGAUGAAUGAUAGGAUGUCUAUGAUGAUAAUGGUUAAAAAAUAAAUAAAAUGUAGUUACAGAGAAAAUAGGUCACCAAAAAUAAUGCCAAAGAGCAGAAAGGAGGAAAUUCUUUCUGGCAAAUUCUUGCAUAUUUUGAUAAUUAAAUAAUCCAAAGAACUCUAAAGCAUUAUUUGGUAAGAAUGAAGACAAAUGACUGAUCAAUACAAUAUAAUGGCAUAGGACCUGAAAGAAUUUCAACGUGUUAACAUCUAUUAUUGAGAUAUCAAAUCAUAUUGUAGUGGGUUCCUCUUUAUUAUUAUUAGUGACAGAACCAUAUUCAACAAUCCCCAUUCCAUCACAAUUAAGGAAAUUUCAGCUGAGUUACUGAGCCUUUAAAACUUAAAUAAGUUAGCACUUAAAAUGGAAUAAUUACAAUAGCUUUUAUAAUUAAGAAACAAGAUACUCUGGAGCAUUGCAUUUCUGCAGAAUUAUUGCACGUCUCAAGCACAUUAAGACCACGACCAAAGGCACAGUUGCAUUAGCCUCUUGGGGAAUACGCUAAUCCCUAGAAAUCCACUGCUUAGGAAGCUUGUUGUGCAUAUGGAUUUUUUUUCUCAGUAUUUAAAUAUCAGCUCUGGUAAAAUCUGUGCUGAGUGUCCUGUCCACCACACAAUUUCAAUUUGUAUCUGGAAAAAGCAUGGCUUUUUACCAACAUGGAUAUUUAAAUAUUGGACAAAUGGCAAAACACCAUCAUCACAUGCUUUAUUAUAUUUUACCUAAAUUUACGUAUCACCAUAGGAAGUUGUAACAAUACUUACCUAGAACCUUACCUAUAUGCAUACACAGAUGUAAUAUUUUGCAUAAUUGCAAUUAUGAAAAUUAAAGAGUACUGCACUGCACUGGAAUUUAAAAGCAGGGCAAUCACCUAACAAACUAUUGAAGAAAACAGCCCCUAAAAUAGUAAACAGUUUUUUUCCAAGUAAAACUUGUUACAAGAAUCUAAAAAAAAAUAAGACAUCUCCUGAAUGUGUUAAAGCAUAACCACUUAUAAAAUGCUAUUCUCAUUUUACUUUUUCAUACCUCUCCUUAUAUCACACCGUGGGAGUCAUAAUGAUUUCACACUCAAAACUCUUUCAACAAUCAAAACUAACUAUAAAAAAAGAUUUAGUUCAAAUACGUGUUCUAUAUGAUUUUGUUGAGACUGUUAUGCUGGCCAGCUGAUAAUGGGUGUUUUAUUGCAAUGUAUCCCAUUUAUUAAUAAGUAUGUAGAGCUAAGCAUAUCUAUUAUAGCUGUAUAAAAUAUGUAAUGUCAAAGUCAAAUGCAUUUUUACAGAGAAAAUAAUGACAAAGGAAUACUGUUUUAAAGUUCAUUUUAAAAUAAAAAUCUGUCAAACAUGUUUUUAAAUUUAGAAUCCAGCUAGGUACAAUGCUAACUUACCACCCAUGCUGACAAGAAGUUAAAUUCUAUUCUAUUCUAGGUAUAUUAUUAUAUUGUUUUAAUACUCCCCACAUAUCCUAUCAUUUCCAAAGCCUUGAGGAAUGUCACUUGGAUUAUCACGGGAGUUUGGAGGCAACAGUUACUUCUUCUUACCACACUCCUCCAAGCUUACAAAUAGCAAAAUCACAUGGGCAGGCAGACUUGAAGUAUUUCCUGGUCUUGUUCACUAAUCUUUAUCAGUGACUGAGGAGGAAAAGCAGGAAGGGAAGCAUAUGUCACAGCAAGAUGAAUAAAUGGGAAGUAAGGGAAUCCACUGGUAUAAACGGGGGUAAGUCUCUUUGCUUCAUUUUCUAACAGUUUAGACAACUGACAUUCAAUUUGGAGACUUCACAUUACUCAAGUUAUUAUGACCUUUAGGAGCAUUUUCCCAGCUCUAAGGAGAAUGCCUAUCAGAAAAACAGGUACAUUGAGUAACCAAAUGCAAGGCUAAUUAAACUCUUUAGUGCAGAGUGAGGAGACCAACAGUAGUUCUGCACUAAAGCAGAAAGCCUCCUAUUUCAACAGAUGGUAACAAUAUGAUUCUUCGAAGAGCACUCAGUGCAAUUUACAAGACAAUCAUAAUAAUCAAGCUUCCAACAUAAAGAUACCACAGACCAUGUGUGGAACACUCUAAGACAUCAUGCAAAACCAUAACAGAUACAUUAAGCACAGCCCCUGCCCUAGCUCACAAGGUAUGCAAACACACAAGUGGAGUAUGUAUUUCAGCAUUUGGUCAGCGGUUGCUUAGAUGAUGAAGAUAAAGAGUACUUCACCAAAAUAGGGUCCAGGGCCUCUGGAAAAAACUCCCUGAAUUGCCUACCUGAAUUAAGCAAAUAGACACACUUAUAUCAGCAACUUCCUGCCAAGAGAGAGUCACCAAAUGCAACAACUUCCUCAGCUUUUUACAUGAUUUCAUCACAUUCACUCCAUUAAUCACAGAUGCAUGUGCACACUUUGGCUGAUUAAGGUAGAUUACCACCGUUCACUUCUCAAAAGCUUAUGAGUCCUGAGAAGGAUCAGGAUGAUGGAGGAGUAAGACGUCACGCUCGCCUUCUCCCACAAACACAUCCAAAGAAUACAUGUACAUGUAAAACAAUUCACACAGAACAUCUACUGAUCACUGGCAGAUGAACUUAAACCUCCAAAAAGAGCAAGAAACUCUUGACAUAACUGGGUGGAACAAAAGAAAAGGAGUAAAAGAAUCAGGGCAGGACUAGUAUUCCUGAGAGGGAGCUGUGAAAGAGAAAGUAACCAACAUCCUGAGAAGCCACCUACUUGACGGGGAGAUCAGUCCAGACGAAGGGACCUCAAGUUUCUGAGAAAAGCACAGCAUCAGGUCGACAGAGGAGGGCAAGGUAGUGUGAGAGCCACACAGAUCAUCUACACCACCUCCACGGACAGCACAGCCUAAGGUGCUCAGGCAGGGGCUGGGCACUGAGACUCAGACUCCCGAGGUCAGCUCUGGGGAGAGGACUAGGGUUAGCUGUGAGGGAACAGUCUGAGGGGCUAAGGAGCAGUGUGCCACAGGUGGGGGAGUGGUAUGCUAUGGGCGGGGAGUGGUAUGCUAUGGGCGGGGAGUGGAAUGCCAUGGCAGAGGGAACCCAGGAGGAGGUCUGGUCCCACAGGAGAAGCAAGGUGCCAUUGCUGGGGAAGGGGAGAGGAGGAGGGGCAGACUGCCAUAGGAAACUCCCUCCACACGCACAGGCUCUCAGAGGGCGGGGUGCCUCUGGCACAGGCAGAGAAGCCACUAGCUCAGGCUAUGGGAAACCUGGCACUUCUUUUUUUUUUUUUUUAAUUUUUUUUGUCUUUUUGCUAUUUCUUGGGCCGCUCCUGCGGCAUAUGGAGGUUCCCAGGCUAGGGGUCGAAUCGGAGCUGUAGCCACCGGCCUAUGCCAGACCCACAGCAACGAGGGAUCCGAGCCGCGUCUGCGGCCUACACCUCAGCUCACGGCAAUGCCGUACCCUUAACCCACUGAGCAAGGGCAGGGACCGAACCCGCAACCUCAUGGUUCCUAGUCGGAUUCAUUAACCACUGCGCCAUGACGGGAACUCCUCAGGCACUUCUGUGUGGGCUACAGGUGGCUGGGCAGCUCUUCUGUGGGCUAAGGGCAACAGGGGGCUAAGCGCGACAUGGUACCUCUUGCGUGAUCUACAGGUGGCAUGGCAGUCAUCUCAAAGCCAGAGGGAGGGAUGACCUGUCACCACUGGGGGCCUAUGAGUGGCUUCCACCUGUGUCCCCAGUCCCCUCAGGGUUUGGUAAAAAAAAGGGGGGGGCACUGCAACCAAGCACCACCCAUUGUUGCUCUCACUCCACUGGGAACACACCUACCAUUUGGCAGCCACCACUGCCAAAUGCUCUAGGUAGUGCUUAGACACUUGAUCACUGUAGCCUCCCAAAACCCUGUAACUAGAGUAGCUGGUGCAGUAUAUCCUGUGCGGGCUAAGCAGGACAAGGUGCUUCUUGAGUGGUCUGCAGACAGUGGGGGCAAACCACCACAGUUAUCCCUGACUCCAGAGGUGGGCAUGACCUGUCACCAGUAGGGGGUCUGUGAACAGGCACCACUUGCGGCCCCAAGGACCUCAAGGGUACCACAGAGGAGGGCAUUGUGACAGAACACCACAUGUUGUUGCUCUUGCUCCCCUGGGAGCAUACCCAUCCUGCUGCUUCCACUGCCAAACACUCUGGACAGUGCCCAGAGGCUUGAUCACUGUCCUUUCCCUGGAACCUACAAUUAGGAGCAGAAUCAUCAGCACCUCCUGUGUGGGUUAAGUGGGACAGGGUGCUUCUUCUUGCAUGGUAUACAGGUGGUGGGAGCAAACCACUGCUGCUAUCACUGACUCCAGAGGUGGGCAUGGCCUGCUACCACUAGAGGUCCCUGAAGAGCCACCACUUGCAGCCCCAAUCACCUCAGAGGAGGGCAUUGCAACAGAACACUAACUAUUGUUGCUGUCACUCCCUUGGGAACUCACACACCCUGCUGCUACCAUUGCUGAAUGCUCUGAGUGCCUCGUAAAUCUGUCUAGGGCUCAUUACCUCUUUCCAGGGCCCUGAAACUAGGAAUAGCCUGUGCCACCUUCCUUCAGGUCCUUGCUGCUAUUAAAGAGCCCAGCAACCAGGCACUGACUACUAUCCCUACCCAGUGCCUCCUUCUUCCUGGAGAUACACUCAGCACCCUGGGGACAACAGCCUGCUCAUACCGAAGAAAGAGACAGCAAAUAUCCAAACUCCCACACAAAAAAUAAAUAGUAACCCCCCAGAAAAUACAAAGGGGUGCCCUUGCAUAAAAGUAGCCCUCCAAGACUACAGGUUGGCUUUCCUAAAUUCACAGAAAAAGAAAAACAUAAGAAAGAUGAAGAAGCUCAGAAACCAUUCCCAGUUAAAAAAACAGGAGAAUUCACCUGAAGCAGCAAACAAUGAAAUAGACCUCUGCAGUCUGACAGACAAUGAGUUC